UGCGUAGGCGGAUCUGUAAGUGCUUUGUGAAAUCCCAUGGCUCAACCAUGGAAUUGCUCGGCAGACUGCAGAUCUUGAGGUCGGUAGGGGGCUGCUGGAACUCUAGGUGGAGCGGUGAAAUGCGUAGAUAUCUAGAGGAACGCCGAAGGUGAAGACAGGCAGCUGGGCCGAUUCUGACGCUGAGGCACGAAAGCGUGGGGAGCAAACG
RNAcentral lists this ribosomal RNA (208 nucleotides) under uncultured bacterium. RNAcentral describes it as "partial 16S ribosomal RNA". It matches the Rfam family "Bacterial small subunit ribosomal RNA", at positions 568 to 774 of the family's 1533-position model. The record is from RNAcentral.